GAUGGACGCUGGCGGCGCGCCUAACACAUGCAAGUCGAACGAUUAAAGCACCUUCGGGUGUGUAUAAAGUGGCGAACGGCUGAGUAACACGUGGGCAACCUGCCCCUUUCAUUGGGAUAGCCACGGGAAACCGUGGAUAAUACCGAAUACUUCGAGACUUCCGCAUGGAAGACUCGAGAAAGCUCCGGCGGAGAGGGAUGGGCCCGCGGCCUGUUAGCUUGUUGGUGGGGUAACGGCCUACCAAGGCAAUGAUGGGUAGCUGGGUUGAGAGACCGACCAGCCAGAUUGGGACUGAGACACGGCCCAGACUCCUACGGGAGGCAGCAGUGGGGAAUCUUGCACAAUGGGCGAAAGCCUGAUGCAGCGACGCCGCGUGCGGGAUGAAGGCCUUCGGGUUGUAAACCGCUUUCAGCAGGGACGAGGCGAAAGUGACGGUACCUGCAGAAGAAGCCCCGGCUAACUACGUG
This 467-nucleotide ribosomal RNA is filed under the name uncultured bacterium. RNAcentral describes it as "partial 16S ribosomal RNA". It matches the Rfam family "Bacterial small subunit ribosomal RNA", at positions 28 to 507 of the family's 1533-position model. The record is from RNAcentral.